RNAcentral lists this ribosomal RNA (433 nucleotides) under uncultured bacterium. RNAcentral's name for it is "partial 16S ribosomal RNA". It matches the Rfam family "Bacterial small subunit ribosomal RNA", at positions 29 to 507 of the family's 1533-position model. The record is from RNAcentral.
AACGAACGCUGGCGGCAUGCCUAACACAUGCAAGUCGAACGAGACCUUCGGGUCUAGUGGCGCAAGGGUGCGUAACGCGUGGGAACCUGCCCUUAGGUUCGGAAUAACUCCCCGAAGGAUGUGCUAAUACCGGUUAAUGUCUUCGGACCAAAGAUUUAUCGCCUUUGGAUGGGCCCGCGUUGGAUUAGCUAGUUGGUAGGGUAAAAGCCUACCAAGGCGACGAUCCAUAGCUGGUCUGAGAGGAUGAUCAGCCACACUGGGACUGAGACACGGCCCAGACUCCUACGGGAAGCAGCAGUGGGGAAUAUUGGACAAUGGGCGAAAGCCUGAUCCAGCAAUGCCGCGUGAGUGAUGAAGGCCUUAGGGUUGUAAAGCUCUUUUACCCGGGAUGAUAAUGACAGUACCGGGAGAAUAAGCUCCGGCUAACUCCGUG